RNAcentral lists this ribosomal RNA (540 nucleotides) under uncultured bacterium. RNAcentral describes it as "bacterial SSU rRNA". It matches the Rfam family "Bacterial small subunit ribosomal RNA", at positions 55 to 640 of the family's 1533-position model. The record is from RNAcentral.
AUGCAGUCGCACGGACCUUUCGGGGUGAGUGGCGGACGGGUGAGUAUCGCGUAGGGAUCUAUCCAUGGGUGGGGGAUAACAUCGGGAAACUGGUGCUAAUACCGCAUGAUACCUGAGGGUCAAAGGCGCAAGUCGCCUGUGGAGGAGCCUGCGUUCGAUUAGCUUGUUGGUGGGGUAAAGGCCUACCAAGGCGAUGAUCGAUAGCUGGUCUGAGAGGAUGAUCAGCCACACUGGGACUGAGACACGGCCCAGACUCCUACGGGAGGCAGCAGUGGGGAAUAUUGGACAAUGGGCGAAAGCCUGAUCCAGCAAUGCCGCGUGUGUGAAGAAGGUCUUCGGAUUGUAAAGCACUUUCGACGGGGACGAUGAUGACGGUACCCGUAGAAGAAGCCCCGGCUAACUUCGUGCCAGCAGCCGCGGUAAUACGAAGGGGGCUAGCGUUGCUCGGAAUGACUGGGCGUAAAGGGCGCGUAGGCGGUUUACACAGUCAGAUGUGAAAUUCCAGGGCUUAACCUUGGGGCUGCAUUUGAUACGUGUAGA